UUGGGCGGGCAGAGUCGGCACUCAAGGAUAUGGAGUCUGCCGCUGAAUAUGAACUACACAGCCAGUGAACAGAGUUAAAGGCACUGAAAUCCACAACAAAUGCAUAGACUCUUCAUAGGACUGCUUUUGUCCAGUUGUCAGGACAUUUGGCCGGUUGUGUAAUUUCAGGUAUCCCAGUGCUAUUAUCUUGCUCUCUUCACAUUGUUCUGCUGAUCGGCUGCUGGAGAGGGGGAGAUCACUCAAACUUGCAGCACAGCCAUAAAGAGUGACUGGAGUUUGCUCUUUUAAAAAAUUGAUUUCAAUGCAGGAUUCUGCUGGAGAAGUGCAAUUAACUGAUGCAUUUUGAAAAAUAUGAUUUAAAUAUGAUUUCCUUUUUUCUGUAAUAAUAAAACGGUAAUAAACAGCAAUAAAACUGUUCUUGUGGGUAACUAAGCUGCAUGAAUCCAUAUUGGUGGCAGAACAAUCCUACUGGGUUUGCAAUUUGAGUUUGGAGUAGAAAGACAUAUUUGUCUACUUGGAUUUCUGGGAUCUUACUUUCUUUAAGAAAUGUAAUGUCCCUA
Molecule: long non-coding RNA, 560 nt
Organism: Xenopus tropicalis (tropical clawed frog)
Lineage: Eukaryota; Metazoa; Chordata; Amphibia; Anura; Pipidae
Exons: 3
Source: RefSeq, a predicted model, not a curated record